This 447-nucleotide ribosomal RNA is filed under the name uncultured bacterium. RNAcentral's name for it is "bacterial SSU rRNA". It matches the Rfam family "Bacterial small subunit ribosomal RNA", at positions 355 to 825 of the family's 1533-position model. The record is from RNAcentral.
UCGGGAAUUUUGGGCAAUGGGCGAAAGCCUGACCCAGCAACGCCGCGUGAAGGAUGAAGUAUUUCGGUAUGUAAACUUCGUAAGAAUAGGAAGAAUAAAUGACGGUACUAUUUGUAAGGUCCGGCUAACUACGUGCCAGCAGCCGCGGUAAUACGUAGGGACCAAGCGUUGUUCGGAUUUACUGGGCGUAAAGGGCGCGUAGGCGGUUUGUCAAGUCAGUUGUGAAAUCUCCGAGCUUAACUCGGAACGGUCAACUGAUACUGUCAAACUAGAGUACAGAAGGGGCAAUCGGAAUUCUUGGUGUAGCGGUGAAAUGCGUAGAUAUCAAGAGGAACACCUGAGGUGAAGACGGGUUGCUGGGCUGACACUGACGCUGAGGCGCGAAAGCCAGGGGAGCAAACGGGAUUAGAUACCCAUGUAGUCCCUGAGCGGGCUGGCAAGGCGCAU